RNAcentral lists this long non-coding RNA (772 nucleotides) under Homo sapiens (human). RNAcentral's name for it is "HSALNT0113766". The record is from RNAcentral. Lineage: Eukaryota; Metazoa; Chordata; Mammalia; Primates; Hominidae.
UAAUAUUGGAUCCAGAUGAAGCUGGGCUAAGGCUUUUUAGAAGUGUAGCUUUGACUGGAAUGAUGGUUUGUUUGAUGUGACUUGGAGUGAGAACAACGAACAUGUCCUCAUCACCUGUAGUGGCGAUGGCUCGCUGCAGCUCUGGGACACUGCCAAAGCUGCAGGGCCACUGCAAGUCUAUAAAGAACACGCUCAGGAGAUUCUGGAACUUUUCAAAGCCUGACUCUCUUCUUGAAACAGUGGAGCAUCAUACAGAGUUUACUUGUGGUUUAGACUUCAGUCUUCAGAGCCCCACUCAGGUGGCUGACUGUUCUUGGGAUGAAACAAUAAAGAUCUAUGACCCUGCUUGUCUUACUAUUCCUGCUUGAGAUACACUACUUUGGUCAGAAACAGAGGAUGUUGGCUGAAGAACUGCCUAACAGCAAAUAAAUUAACUAUGGAAAACAUAGACAUUAUGCUUUUAUAUGCUAUUCAGAUUUCAAAUCUUUCCAAUUUACCCUGGAAUCAGUUUUGAGGGAGCUGAUAAAGACUUUAGCUGACUCGUUAAGCCUGAUACAUAAGCCAUAUUUAAAAUUCUAAGAAAUAAUUAAUGUUAUGAUAUAUCUUGUAGUAUCUAUUAAAAUGUCUCUGGGUCAUAAAAUGGAUUAAAAUAUGGGAGAUCAGUAGGUUAUACUUAUAUAGAUAGUGAUAUAUUUCAUUUUUAAUUUGUCAUUUUUGAUGUAAAAUAUAAUCACUGCUGUGAUAAAUAAACUAUCUAUUGAUCAUUUAUCAU